This 362-nucleotide long non-coding RNA is filed under the name Gossypium raimondii (Peruvian cotton). RNAcentral describes it as "long non-coding RNA (GRAI_LNC002075)". Lineage: Eukaryota; Viridiplantae; Streptophyta; Magnoliopsida; Malvales; Malvaceae. The record is from RNAcentral.
UUACCUCAAGAUAAAAGAAACCACUUUUACCCAACUCGCACGAAGAACACCAAAAUUCGAAGUGCAACACGAAGAACAGAAAAAGUGUGAACAGACUUGAAGGGAAUGAAAAAAAGGGAGAAGAAAGAAAUAGAAGAGAGACAAAAAGAUAAAAACGAAAAAAGAAAAAAAAUAGAGGAAAGGCAGAAACUGACGUCAGAUUUUUGGGAAGAGAGAAAAAAUUUUAAAAAUAAAAUAAAAUAAAUAACCAAUUUGAUUAAUAUCCCAACUCCCCAAUAACAACCACAUCCCUUAAUAUCCUCCCCAAUAACUACAUCCAACUACUUCAGACUCCCAACUCCAGCAAACCUCUAACAAACAAC